Molecule: ribosomal RNA, 475 nt
Filed under: uncultured soil bacterium
Lineage: Bacteria
Description: bacterial SSU rRNA
Rfam family: Bacterial small subunit ribosomal RNA
Source: RNAcentral
AGGACGAACGCUGGCGGCGUGCCUAACACAUGCAAGUCGAACGGGGCCCGCAAGGGUUCAGUGGCGAACGGGUGCGUAACACGUGAAGAAUUUGUCCAACGGCGGGGGAUAGCCGGCCCAACGGCCGGGUAAUACCGCGUACGACCCUCGAGGGGCAUCCCUUGAAGGUGAAAGCCGCAGGGCGCCGAUGGAGAACUUCGCGGCCUAUCAGCUAGUUGGUGAGGUCAUGGCUCACCAAGGCGACGACGGGUAGCUGGUCCGAGAGGAUGACCAGCCACAUUGGGACUGAGACACGGCCCAGACUCCUACGGGAGCAGCAGUGGGAAUAUUGCGCAAUGGGCGAAAGCCUGACGCAGCGACGCCGCGUGUGGGAUGACGGCCUUCGGUGUAAACCACUGUCGCGAGGGACGAAGAUCUGGACCGGUACCUGGAAAGGAGCACCGGCUAACCGUCUAGUGCCCAGCACGCCGACGGU